UGGGUGUUGUUGCUGAGGUUGGAGACACCAGUGUGUGUGUGUUGUUGCUGAGGUUGGAGACACCAGUGUGUGUGUGUUGUUGCUGAGGUUGGAGCCACCAGUGUGUGUUGUUGCUGAGGUUGGAGUCACCAGUGUGUGUGUGUUGUUGCUGAGGUUGGAGCCACCAGUGUGUGUGUGUUGUUGCUGAGGUUGGAGCCACCAGUGUGUGUGUGUUGUUGCUGAGGUUGGAGACACCAGUGUGUGUGUGUUGUUGCUGAGGUUGGAGCCACCAGUGUGUGUGUGUUGUUGCUGAGGUUGGAGCCACCAGUGUGUGUGUGUGUUGUUGCUGAGGUUGGAACCACCAGUGUGUGUGUGUUGUUGCUGAGGUUGGAGACACCAGUGUGUCUUGUUGCUGAGGUUGGAGCCACCAGUGUGUGUUGUUGCUGAGGUUGGAGACACCAGUGUGUGUUGUUGCUGAGGUUGGAGACACCAGUGUGUGUGUGUUGUUGCUGAGGUUGGAGCCACCAGUGUGUGUGUGUUGUUGCUGAGGUUGGAGUCACCAGUGUGUGUUGUUGCUGAGGUUGGAGACACCAGUGUGUGUGUGUGUUGUUGCUGAGGUUGGAGACACCAGUGUGUGUGUGUUGUUGCUGAGGUUGGAGACACCAGUGUGUGUGUGUGUUGUUGCUGAGGUUGGAGCCACCAGUGUGUUUUCAGGGAGUGUGGUUGAAGGAGAUACAAAUCUUAGAAUGCAGCCGAUCGCUGUUAGGCGAGAUUGGUCUGUCUGUCUGUCUGUCUGUCUGUCUGUCUGUCGGUCGGUCGGUCUCUCUGUCGGUCUCUCUGUCGGUCUCUCUGUAUGUGUGUUUGUCGGUCUCUCUGUAUGUGUGUGUGUGUCGGUCUGUUUGUCUGUGAGCGUGUGUGUGUGUGUGUGUGUCUGUCUGUGAGCGUGUGUGUGUGUGUCUGUCUGUCUGUCUGUUGUGAGCGUGUGAGUAUGUAUCCAUGUUCUGAGUUGUUUGUUGCUU
This is a long non-coding RNA of Salvelinus fontinalis (brook trout), 998 nucleotides long. RefSeq lists it as uncharacterized. Lineage: Eukaryota; Metazoa; Chordata; Actinopteri; Salmoniformes; Salmonidae. The record is from RefSeq and is a predicted model, not a curated record. The transcript has 3 exons.